This 253-nucleotide ribosomal RNA is filed under the name uncultured bacterium. Its description in RNAcentral is "partial 16S ribosomal RNA". It matches the Rfam family "Bacterial small subunit ribosomal RNA", at positions 524 to 776 of the family's 1533-position model. The record is from RNAcentral.
UACGUAGGGGGCAAGCGUUGUCCGGAUUUAUUGGGCGUAAAGAGCGUGUAGGCGGCCAGGUAGGUCUGCUGUGAAAACUCGAGGCUCAACCUCGAGACGCCGGCGGAAACCAUCUGGCUAGAGUCCGGAAGAGGAAAGCGGAAUACCUGGUGUAGAGGUGAAAUUCGUAGAUAUCAGGUGGAACACCAGUGGCGAAGGCGGCUUUCUGGACGGUAACUGACGCUGAGGCGCGAAAGCGUGGGGAGCAAACAGG